This 403-nucleotide ribosomal RNA is filed under the name uncultured bacterium. Its description in RNAcentral is "bacterial SSU rRNA". It matches the Rfam family "Bacterial small subunit ribosomal RNA", at positions 355 to 775 of the family's 1533-position model. The record is from RNAcentral.
UGGGGAAUAUUGGGCAAUGGAGGCAACUCUGACCCAGCCAUGCCGCGUGGGUGACGAAGGUCUUCGGAUUGUAAAGCCCUUUCGGCGGGGACGAUGAUGACGGUACCCGCAGAAGAAGCCCCGGCUAACUUCGUGCCAGCAGCCGCGGUAAUACGAAGGGGGCUAGCGUUGUUCGGAAUUACUGGGCGUAAAGGGCGUGUAGGCGGCCCGCUAAGUCAGGUGUGAAAUUCCUGGGCUCAACCCAGGACGUGCACUUGAGCCUGACGGGCUUGAGUCCGGGAGAGGAUGGUGGAACUCCCAGUGUAGAGGUGAAAUUCGUAGAUAUUGGGAAGAACACCCGUGGCGAAGGCGGCCAUCUGGACCGGUACUGACGCUAAGGCGCGACAGCGUGGGGAGCAAACAG